Molecule: ribosomal RNA, 116 nt
Filed under: Neogale vison (American mink)
Lineage: Eukaryota; Metazoa; Chordata; Mammalia; Carnivora; Mustelidae
Source: RNAcentral
AAGGACGGCCAUACCACCCUGAACGCGCCCGAUCUCGUCUGAUCUCGGAAGCUAAGCAGGGUCGGGCCUGGUUAGUACUUGGAUGGGAGGAAUAAUUUCUCAAGGAAAUGUGUUUU